Long non-coding RNA from Gasterosteus aculeatus aculeatus (three-spined stickleback), 1294 nucleotides. NCBI's taxonomy places the organism in Eukaryota, Metazoa, Chordata, Actinopteri, Perciformes, Gasterosteidae. The record is from Ensembl.
CGGAAGAAGGUACUCUGGUCAGUUGAGACUAAAAUUGAGCUUUUUGGCCAUCAACGAAAACGAUAUGUCUGGCGCAAACCCCUCUCAUCACCCCGAGAACACCAUCCCCAGUGAAGCAUGCUGAUGGCAGCAUCAUGCUGUGGGGGAUGUUUUUCAUCGGCAGGGACUGGGAAACUGGGUACUGCGUGUGCAAUCAAAGAAAACGCAGCCCCCUCAUUCUCCAUCACCCUGUGUGACUUCCCUGUCACCACUGUGGAUUCCUUCCGUUUUCAGGACUCCAUCAUCACCUAGGACCUCAAGUGGGAGCUGAACAUCAGCUCCAUCACCAACAAGGUUCAGCAGAGGAUGUUCUUCCUGCGGCAGCUAAAUGAAUUCAACCUGGUAAAGACAAUGAUGGUGCACUUCUACACACCAUCUUUUAGUCCAUUCUCUGCUCCUCCAUCACCGAUUGGUACGCUGCAGGGACAAGGGCAGGCUGCAGCGUGUCAUCCGCUCUGCAGAGACGGUGAUUGGCAGCAAUCUGAUGUCCCUCCAGGACUCGUUUGCCCUCAGGACUGAGGCGGGUAAGAAAAAUGGUUGCCGACCCCUCUUACCGGACAGACGUUUUGAGCCCCUUCCAUCUGAAAGAAGGAUAUGAUCCAUCAGGACCAAGACCUCUCGCCACAGGAACAGUUUCCUCCCAUCAGCAACAUACUUAUCUGUUUUACUAUUUUUUUACUUUUUCUUGUAUAUUUGUAUAUGACUUCAUCUUAUAUUGUUCUUAUAUUGCACCAAUUCAUUUAGACAAAUUCCUCUCUGCGCAACAUAUGUGGCAAUAAAAGGUUUCUGAUUCCGAUUCAAACCUUGUUUUGUUACAUUUAAGUAGUUGAGACUUAUAUUGGCCAGUGUAGCAAAUUUUUUCCCGUACAGCUGUACAUGUCAACAAUUGGCACUCCUUUUAACUGGAAUCUUGUUUAACAAGCUUUUGCAAUUACAUCAUGUUGACUACAACCCCAAAAGAAAAUGCCUGAUUAAACAGCUGUGAACAACAAAUUAAGAAUAAGAAUGAUUGAUUCCUCCUCUAAAUUACUGUUUUACUGUUGAAAUGAAAAAAUGAACUUUUGUAAAUACUGUCAGUGUACCAGUAUUUCUUUGGUUGCAAUGUUAAGUAUGUAUCAUCAUCUCCUUACAGGGGUUACUGGCUUCCAGAUUUUUGUCAGCAUGUGCCAUAUAGGUCAGCACAUGAGGGUCACCAUCCUGUUAUUUAUUUGAUGUUGUAAAAGCAGGGUUUCAGGCUGCUCCAUGUGAAAGCGGG